This 150-nucleotide ribosomal RNA is filed under the name uncultured eubacterium ZII-2. Its description in RNAcentral is "partial 16S ribosomal RNA". It matches the Rfam family "Bacterial small subunit ribosomal RNA", at positions 356 to 498 of the family's 1533-position model. The record is from RNAcentral.
GGGGAAUAUUGGACAAUGGGCGAAAGCCUGAUCCAGCCAUGCCGCGUGUGUGAAGAAGGUCUUCGGAUUGUAAAGCACUUUAAGUUGGGAGGAAGGGUUGUAGAUUAAUACUCUGCAAUUUUGACGUUACCGACAGAAUAAGCACCGGCU